AGAUAGAGGUCGCGAGCCUCAUGAGUCACCAGCGAGAGUCUUCAGCGGACGCCGACAGCUGGCAAAAGGGAUGCUCGCCGAAGUGAGACGUCUGGCUGGCGGCGUCUUGCUGGGCAUGUGUCGAAGAGGCACAUGACUGUCAUCUUAGGAUGGGGAGCUAUC
This 162-nucleotide non-coding RNA is filed under the name human gut metagenome. Its description in RNAcentral is "Lysine riboswitch". It matches the Rfam family "Lysine riboswitch aptamer". Rfam says of the family: Riboswitches are metabolite binding domains within certain messenger RNAs that serve as precision sensors for their corresponding targets. Allosteric rearrangement of mRNA structure is mediated by ligand binding, and this results in modulation of gene expression. This family includes riboswitches that sense lysine in a number of genes involved in lysine metabolism, including lysC. The record is from RNAcentral.